RNAcentral lists this long non-coding RNA (1833 nucleotides) under Homo sapiens (human). Its description in RNAcentral is "HSALNT0245672". Lineage: Eukaryota; Metazoa; Chordata; Mammalia; Primates; Hominidae. The record is from RNAcentral.
ACCUCCCGGGUCCUGGGCUGCCAGCUCCAUCUUCUGCGCACCAGGAGUGAGGAGCAUCAACCACACCGGGCCCCAGGAGGUGGCUGCCUGGCCACCAUCACCCUCCCACUGAGGGGCCCAGGGGAGAGAAGACUGUAACUGCUCUGGAAGCUUCCGGCCUUUCUUCGGCAACGAAUCUGGGGUGUGGCUGGACCUGGACCCUUUCAUGCCUGGGAUCUUAACAUUCACCAUCUGGGUGGAUUCUCCUUCCUGGUCUCUCUGUGGAUGGAUCUUGUCAGUCUCCUGGAGGAAGGGAAGAUGAUGCUCCACUUUCCCCGGGAUGCUGGGACACAGAUCCACAAACCGGGCCACUUAAAGUGACAGACAUUUUUCCUCUCCCAGUUCUGGAAGCAGAGGGGAGAAAUCAAGGUGUCGGCAGGGCUGGUUCCCACUGAGGCUCUGAGGGAGAACCUAUCCCAGGCCCCUCUCCCGGAUCUGGGGCUCCCGGGGAUCCUUGGCGUCCUUCGCAUGGCUCCAAUCUGCUGCUGCUUCACCUGGAUUUGCCCGUGUGUCUCUGGGUCUUCAUUCCUGUUUCUUGCCAGGACGCUCUCAUUGGAUUUAGGGCCCACCCUAACCCAGGAUGACCUCAUCUCCAUCCUUACCUUAAUCACACCUGCAAAGACCCUAUUUCCAACAAGGCUGCAUUCUCAGGUUCUGGGAGGACAUGAAUUCACAGGUUCACGAUUCAGCCCAGUACAGGAUGACCUGGAGUAGAGCCAGGAUCCCGGAAGUCCCCGGGGGCUGAUGGGGCCCAGCAGGGAAGCAGGGAUGGGCAGGGUCUCCAGGGCACAGAGGAGGGGUGUUGUGCACCUGCCCCCUUCCUGGGCUCCCCUAGUGCAGCUCUUUCUGGGGCCUUCUACCCUCUCCAUUUACCCACUCGCCCCUGCAGAUGGGGGGCGCAUGAUGGCACCUUUUGAUUUAACCAAGUUAUUAUGGGGGAACCUCAGCCCAUCAGGGCUGGUGCCCAGGCACCCUAGGUGAAGCCCUCAGCUCGGCCGCCACCCUGGCCUUGGCAGGAUCCAGGCUCUGAGGUCCUCUUCUGGAGGCUGGGUCCUCUCUCAUUUCACUCCACGUCAUUAUUAAGAGAUGAUGCAGGUCUUGGAGCAAGAACCCUUUGGCUCUGGAAAAAUUAUGUGUGACACUUUACAUAUGGAUCAGAGUGUCUGUGAGGGGCCGGGCAGGCACUGGGCUGGUCUCAGGACCUGGAGGUGAAUGAGAAGAGGCUGCUGUACAGAAGAAGCAUGUGGGCACCCAGGAGAAGGGAUGGAAAGAAACCCAGGCUGCACAACAGCGGGGGUGCAGGGUGGACGCCUUUCCCGGCAGUUCGUCUCAGCACCACAGCCUGGGUGCCUGCAUCGCCUGCACCAUGCAUACAGAAGCUAACACCAGGCUGUAUCAAUUCCGGGGCCCAAGAGAGAAACAGGAUGUCCCAUGUGACUUCUGCUACUUUGGAGUGGGGUCUUCCAGGAAUCUUUGUGAUAUGGCUUGGUUAUGUCCCCACCCAAAUCUCAUCUUGAAUUGUAAUUCUCACAAUUCCCACGUGUCAUGGGAGGAUCCCAGUGGGAGGUGAUUGAAUUAAGGAGAGGGGGAGUCUUUCCUGCACUGUUCUCGUGAUAGUGAAUGAGUCUUGCAAGAACCGAUGGUUUUACAAAUGGGAGUUUCCCUGCACACGCUCUUUUUGCCUGCUGCCAUCCACAUAAGAUGUGACUUGCUCCUCCUUGCCUUCCAUCACGAUUGUGAGGCCUCCCUAGCCAUGUGGAACUGUAGGUCCAAUAAACCUUUUUCUUUUGUAAA